This is a long non-coding RNA of Phyllostomus hastatus (greater spear-nosed bat), 292 nucleotides long. RefSeq lists it as uncharacterized. The record is from RefSeq and is a predicted model, not a curated record. The transcript is spliced from 3 exons. Lineage: Eukaryota; Metazoa; Chordata; Mammalia; Chiroptera; Phyllostomidae.
GGCAGUGCAGAUUGUUGGAACCUGAUAGGGAUGGACUCCACAUCUGGUGAAGUAAAGGAGAGUGACUUCGGAGUCUUUCCUGAAGGACUUGCAGGCAUCACUGAUACUGCUGAUUCCGGAGAUCUCAUCUGAGAGCUACUGAACGGAGGCGAUGCAUCACACAGGUUUCCACAUAUAGAAAAACAUCAGCCGUACAUUAGAGCCCUAACGAGCUCAUCAGUUCUGAGUGUAAAAGCUGUGGAACCUUCGGAUCUGAAUCUCAAUGAGUCCCGGACUUACCGCACCACUUCAC